CAUCCCAGGGAAUCUAAAGUGUCAUUUCCUCUCUGGAAGAAAGGAAGCACAAAACAUGCUAGGACAAAAUUGGAGAAACUGAUUAUUUUACCCAGGCUUUGACUGGAAUGGCAUGAUUCCUUUAAAAAAUUCAAGCUUGACUUAUACAGCCAAUUAAGCCCUGUUGGGGAAUCUGGUCUCAUACCUUGUCCACACAGAGUCCUUGUACAAGUUUCCCGACCUGUGAAAGAAGAAAGAGCUUUAACAGACAUUUGAUAAUGAAUUGUUACUUCUUACUCAUGUUUAUAUAUAAACUCUUGACUGUCAAUGCUAUAAAAGACAAUUCAAAAGGAAGAAAUGCAGUUAUAUUGAAACACCAUUCAAAACAUCACAACAAGAAAUGCAGUCUACUAUAAACUGAGUAAAUAGAAAGAUAUACAGUAGUACUGAGGCUACUACCAGGAGAAGGCAAUAUUGGUACUGAACAAAAAAGAGUUUCUUCACACUGAAGUACAGCACAGUUGAGAAGCAUGAAAUAAAGACGUUUUCUAGACUCCAAUUCUAUCAUUUCCAUGAGAAGUCCUGGAAGCCGUCUCCCACAGAUACCAAGAGACCACUGUAUAUCCAGAAGUGUGACUACUGUGUAAUAUGAAGUUAUAACUUUAAUUUCUUCAGGAACCACCAUACUGCUUUCCACAGCAGGUUUAAACAGUAUCCAUUCAGAACAAUGACAAGAAAGCUUUAAGCUUAUACAAUACAAGAUGCUUCUUGCCCUUCUAGGAAGAAUCCUUUACUGAAAUGGAAGACGCAGUCUCGCUCUGUCGUCUGGCCUGGAGUGCGGUGG
RNAcentral lists this long non-coding RNA (823 nucleotides) under Homo sapiens (human). RNAcentral's name for it is "long independently transcribed non-coding RNA 2144 (LINC02144)". Lineage: Eukaryota; Metazoa; Chordata; Mammalia; Primates; Hominidae. The record is from RNAcentral.